Molecule: ribosomal RNA, 1461 nt
Filed under: uncultured organism
Description: SSU rRNA
Rfam family: Bacterial small subunit ribosomal RNA
Source: RNAcentral
ACGCUGGCGGCGUGCCUAAUACAUGCAAGUAGAACGCUGAAGAGAGGAGCUUGCUCUUCUUGGAUGAGUUGCGAACGGGUGAGUAACGCGUAGGUAACCUGCCUUGUAGCGGGGGAUAACUAUUGGAAACGAUAGCUAAUACCGCAUAACAAUGGAUGACCCAUGUCAUUUAUUUGAAAGGGGCAAAUGCUCCACUACAAGAUGGACCUGCGUUGUAUUAGCUAGUAGGUGAGGUAACGGCUCACCUAGGCGACGAUACAUAGCCGACCUGAGAGGGUGAUCGGCCACACUGGGACUGAGACACGGCCCAGACUCCUACGGGAGGCAGCAGUAGGGAAUCUUCGGCAAUGGGGGCAACCCUGACCGAGCAACGCCGCGUGAGUGAAGAAGGUUUUCGGAUCGUAAAGCUCUGUUGUAAGUCAAGAACGAGUGUGAGAGUGGAAAGUUCACACUGUGACGGUAGCUUACCAGAAAGGGACGGCUAACUACGUGCCAGCAGCCGCGGUAAUACGUAGGUCCCGAGCGUUGUCCGGAUUUAUUGGGCGUAAAGCGAGCGCAGGCGGUUUGACAAGUCUGAAGUUAAAGGCUGUGGCUCAACCAUAGUUCGCUUUGGAAACUGUCAAACUUGAGUGCAGAAGGGGAGAGUGGAAUUCCAUGUGUAGCGGUGAAAUGCGUAGAUAUAUGGAGGAACACCGGUGGCGAAAGCGGCUCUCUGGUCUGUAACUGACGCUGAGGCUCGAAAGCGUGGGGAGCGAACAGGAUUAGAUACCCUGGUAGUCCACGCCGUAAACGAUGAGUGCUAGGUGUUGGAUCCUUUCCGGGAUUCAGUGCCGCAGCUAACGCAUUAAGCACUCCGCCUGGGGAGUACGACCGCAAGGUUGAAACUCAAAGGAAUUGACGGGGGCCCGCACAAGCGGUGGAGCAUGUGGUUUAAUUCGAAGCAACGCGAAGAACCUUACCAGGUCUUGACAUCCCGAUGCUAUUUCUAGAGAUAGAAAGUUACUUCGGUACAUCGGUGACAGGUGGUGCAUGGUUGUCGUCAGCUCGUGUCGUGAGAUGUUGGGUUAAGUCCCGCAACGAGCGCAACCCCUAUUGUUAGUUGCCAUCAUUCAGUUGGGCACUCUAGCGAGACUGCCGGUAAUAAACCGGAGGAAGGUGGGGAUGACGUCAAAUCAUCAUGCCCCUUAUGACCUGGGCUACACACGUGCUACAAUGGUUGGUACAACGAGUUGCGAGUCGGUGACGGCAAGCUAAUCUCUUAAAGCCAAUCUCAGUUCGGAUUGUAGGCUGCAACUCGCCUACAUGAAGUCGGAAUCGCUAGUAAUCGCGGAUCAGCACGCCGCGGUGAAUACGUUCCCGGGCCUUGUACACACCGCCCGUCACACCACGAGAGUUUGUAACACCCGAAGUCGGUGAGGUAACCUUUUGGAGCCAGCCGCCUAAGGUGGGAUAGAUGAUUGG